AUACGUAGGGUGCAAGCGUUAAUCGGAAUUACUGGGCGUAAAGCGUGCGCAGGCGGUUUUGGAAGACAGUGGUGAAAUCCCCGGGCUCAACCUGGGAACUGCCAUUGUGACUGCAAGGCUGGAGUGCCGCAGAGGGGGAUGGAAUUCCGCGUGUAGCAGUGAAAUGCGUAGAUAUGCGGAGGGACACCGAUGACGAAGGCAUUCCCCCGCGCCAGAACUAACGCUCAUGGCCGAAAGCGUGCGAGGGAAACAGGAUUAGAUACGCUGCUAGUCUGUGCAGCAAAGGAUUUUAACUGGUGAUUUGGGAAAUCUUUUACGAAUAAUGAAGGUAACAUAUACCUUCGAACCCCUCGGGAGUCCGGUCUCAAGGUUGAAACUGAAACGACUUGACGGGG
This 395-nucleotide ribosomal RNA is filed under the name uncultured bacterium. Its description in RNAcentral is "partial 16S ribosomal RNA". It matches the Rfam family "Bacterial small subunit ribosomal RNA", at positions 523 to 918 of the family's 1533-position model. The record is from RNAcentral.